AGUAGCUCAGUGGUAGAGCUAUCGGCUGUUAACCGAUCGGUCGUAGGUUCGAGUCCUACCUGCUAG
Molecule: transfer RNA, 66 nt
Filed under: Staphylococcus aureus
Lineage: Bacteria; Bacillati; Bacillota; Bacilli; Caryophanales; Staphylococcaceae
Description: tRNA-Asn
Rfam family: tRNA
About the family: Transfer RNA (tRNA) molecules are approximately 80 nucleotides in length. Their secondary structure includes four short double-helical elements and three loops (D, anti-codon, and T loops). Further hydrogen bonds mediate the characteristic L-shaped molecular structure. tRNAs have two regions of fundamental functional importance: the anti-codon, which is responsible for specific mRNA codon recognition, and the 3' end, to which the tRNAs corresponding amino acid is attached (by aminoacyl-tRNA synthetases). tRNAs cope with the degeneracy of the genetic code in two manners: having more than one tRNA (with a specific anti-codon) for a particular amino acid; and 'wobble' base-pairing, i.e. permitting non-standard base-pairing at the 3rd anti-codon position.
Source: RNAcentral